This 445-nucleotide ribosomal RNA is filed under the name uncultured bacterium. Its description in RNAcentral is "partial 16S ribosomal RNA". It matches the Rfam family "Bacterial small subunit ribosomal RNA", at positions 338 to 795 of the family's 1533-position model. The record is from RNAcentral.
CCUACGGGUGGCAGCAGUCGAGAAUCAUUCACAAUGGGGGAAACCCUGAUCGUGCGACGCCGCGUGGGGGAAUGAAGGUCUUCGGAUUGUAAACUCCUUUCAUGGGGGAGCAAAUUAAAAAGAUAGUACCACAAGAGGAAGAGACGGCUAACUCCGUGCCAGCAGCCGCGGUAAUACGGAGGAUGCGAUCGUUAUCCGGAUUUAUGGGGUUAAAGGGGUGCGUAGGCGGUCCGUUAAGUCAGCGGUAAAAUUGCGGGGCUCAACCCCGGCGGGCCGUUGAAACUGGCAGACUUGAGUUGGCGAGAAGUACGCGGAAUGCGCGGUGUAGCGGUGAAAUGCAUAGAUAUCGCGCAGAACUCCGAUUGCGAAGGCAGCGUACCGGCGCCAGACUGACGCUGAGGCACGAAAGUGCGGGUAUCGAACAGGAUUAGAUACCCGGGUAGUC